UCCGCGGUAGCUCAAUUGGUAGAGCGUCAUCGCACGCGUAAUGCGAAGACGUGGGUUCGUUCCCCACCUGCGAAA
Molecule: non-coding RNA, 75 nt
Organism: Dermacentor albipictus
Lineage: Eukaryota; Metazoa; Arthropoda; Arachnida; Ixodida; Ixodidae
Source: the annotation of a RefSeq genome assembly